AUUGAACGCUGGCGGCAUGCCUUACACAUGCAAGUCGAACGGUAACAGGUCUUCGGAUGCUGACGAGUGGCGAACGGGUGAGUAAUACAUCGGAACGUGCCUAGUAGUGGGGGAUAACUACUCGAAAGAGUGGCUAAUACCGCAUGAGAUCUACGGAUGAAAGAAGGGGAUCGCAAGACCUUGUGCUACUAGAGCGGCCGAUGGCAGAUUAGGUAGGUGGUGGGAUAAAAGCUUACCAAGCCGUCGAUCUGUAGCUGGUCUGAGAGGACGAUCAGCCACACUGGGACUGAGACACGGCCCAGACUCCUACGGGAGGCAGCAGUGGGGAAUUUUGGACAAUGGGCGAAAGCCUGAUCCAGCAAUGCCGCGUGCAGGAUGAAGGCCUUCGGGUUGUGAACUGCUUUUGUACGGAACGAAAAGCCCUGGGUUAAUACCCUGGGGUCAUGACGGUACCGUAAGAAUAAGCACCGGCUAACUACGUGCCAGCCGCCGCGGUAA
This 498-nucleotide ribosomal RNA is filed under the name uncultured bacterium. RNAcentral's name for it is "partial 16S ribosomal RNA". It matches the Rfam family "Bacterial small subunit ribosomal RNA", at positions 30 to 523 of the family's 1533-position model. The record is from RNAcentral.